RNAcentral lists this ribosomal RNA (253 nucleotides) under uncultured bacterium. RNAcentral's name for it is "partial 16S ribosomal RNA". It matches the Rfam family "Bacterial small subunit ribosomal RNA", at positions 524 to 776 of the family's 1533-position model. The record is from RNAcentral.
GACGAACCGUGCAAACGUUGUUCGGAAUCACUGGGCUUAAAGGGCGCGUAGGCGGCUUGCCAAGUCAGGGGUGAAAUCUUUCGGCUUAACCGGAAAAGUGCCUCUGAUACUGGCGAGCUAGAGGGAGGUAGGGGCAUGUGGAACUUCCGGUGGAGCGGUGAAAUUCGUAGAUAUCAGGAGGAACACCGGUGGCGAAGGCGGCCAUCUGGACGACAACUGACGCUGAGGCGCGAAAGCGUGGGGAUCAAACAGG